CUGCAGGAGAGAGAGAAGAUAAGACGGAGAGAGAAGGAGGAGAGGAGGGAGAGGAAAAGAGGUGCGGUGGCAGGGAAAUCGUCGUCGGAUGCGUCUUAUAUGUGAUGGGUGUGUUCCCAUCAAGUCGAUGGUGGGGUUGAUGUGCCCGUCGAUUCGUGAUCCGCUGGCUGGGCUCAUCUUCUCAAUGGCGGACUGGUGUUCUAUGUUAGUCGGAGCCAUUGUAUGUGGUUGUGCAGUUGCUGAUGUACAGGAGGCGUCCGUGGUAUCAGUUCUUCAUCGUCCAUGCUUAUCUUCUAUAUGCUCUAGCAGCCAGUUCAAGUCAGGCAACUUCUCCUGGGCGAUCGUGCGUACUUGGUCGCUGUGGCUCCUUUGAGCCUUUUUCGACGCCUGGGAAUCAGAAUUAAUAAAAUGGAGAUAAGGAACCAUGUAGUUCACUGAGCAGCUAUAAAGCCUAAGAUAAACUACAGUAAACAGAAAGUUGAGGAAUCAACCAAAUGUGUAGAAAUUUUGGUGACUAACUUAUGACUUGUUUAUUUCAGAGAAACUAAUGACUUAUCAAUCCAACAGACAGUAUGAAGUUGUGCCAAGUAAAGCCAAAAAAGAAACUGUAUGUAUAUAACGGAGUAGCGGAUGCGGUUCAAGCUGUUUUUUUGCCUGCUUAUUUUUUAUGUAGCUUUUUUGGCCUGCUUGUCAGUGAUGCAAUGCCUUAUGGAGUAACGAAAGCCUAGAAUGAGAGUUAGGGAAAAUGAAAUGGACACCAAAUUUGGUGAGGCUUAUAUACUAUGAACUUGGAGCCAAGUAGAAACCCCAGUGUUAGCUGAACAGAAAAUUUAAUGUGUUAAGUUAUGCAUAUUGCAUUGUACCCAAAUAAUUCAAAUAAGUGUUAACUCAAAGGAUUGUUUUUGUAGAGGUCCAUAUGCAAUUCAUCAGAUACAGAUAAAGGGUUAGUAUCUCCCAUGUGUGCAAAAUUGGUGUGCAGAUAGCAAUUCACAGACCACUUUCCCUGAACCUCAAAUUAUGUAAAAUUUGGUGCUAAUCAACCGGGUGCAUACCUGCAGCCUUGAGGAGCAGUACUGAGGCAGGAGGUGUCUUCAAGAUAAAGCAGGAUUUAAUUGAUGGAGUCCUGCUGCUAAAGGACUGCUAAAGGACGUGAACAGGAAGUCCUAUCGCUGGAUGUUUAUUGUCCGAAUUGCAAGGAUCUGGGAAUACAUGAGUACAGACUCUAUCGAAUUCUAUAGCUCUAUUCAUUGGCACACCAGUUGAUCAAUUUUGAGAUGGCACAUCAACAUUAUGUACCUGAAGCGAUCGCUACAGAAGGAAGGUACCAAACAAGAUUAACUGUUUCUAUGCUUCUCAAAAUACUUUAGUAUAUGCCCAUAAUAUCACAGUAUGAAUUGCUGUGUGGGAAGUUUGCUUUUCCUACCAUCACGGAAUAAUAAUUCAUUUUUUAGUUUGAUAUAUUCCGCGCCCAAUUAACUAUUUGUAUUUGCCAGAGAAUGCAGAAAAAAAAAUACUAACCUGCUUGUGUUCCCGAGAGAGUGUAUUUCUCCAUACCUCAACAUUCUUGAUAAUAUGGUCAUCUCUGUUCUGGACAACACACUUGACGACCUCUCUUCAUGGCACAAAACUGAAACUGUGCCAUUAAUAUAUUUUCCUUGCAUGCUUGUCUAAAUAAAGGGUGCAAUACACAUGACAUAGUCGCAUAGAUAUACAAAUCCCUUAUUCCUGUGAGCAAGACUGAAGCUUGCUACUUGUUAAGACCAGUCAUAAACAUUUCUGUGAUUGUAGCUGAUUCCCGUCAGUGAAACUUUGCCAUGACCAUUGUUUAUUCAGUGAAAUAGCUGAUUCCAAUCAUCCAUCAACUAGAUUUGUGAUAAUCACAACAACAAGCUUAUAUCUUACAAAUCGCCUGAUUGGUGAUUAUCCAUUUUAUAUGAUGUUUUUCAUUUGCAAGCGCUGAGUUUUUUCCUUUCAAGUUUCUCUCUCUUACUCUAUUUCUUUAAAUAUAUUUCUCCUCUCACUCCAUCAUCCAGUCUGUCGGUUACUCAUGAUGAGUGAUUAUAUGCAAUCAUCCGACAAUAAUUAGUAUAGAUAAUUAGUUAUGCCAGGUUGCUACAUUUCAAUCUCCUUUUUACCAAUAUGAAAUAUGAUGGCAUAUUAAUAUUGAGAGACAGUCUCGUCGUCCGCUGCAGCAUCACCCUUCUUUUUCGCCGCCCUAACUUUUUUGCACCCCAGGCCUAGCACGCGAUAACGGCGCCACGAGGAUUCUCUGUCGUGAGGAGUACCCCGACCCGUAUGAUGGCCACCGGAAGGUCACACACUUCUUUGGCUCGCUUCGACUGGCUCCAUUGACGACUUCUCUAAGGUGUAUUUGUUGGGUUCCUCUUGGCGUGUCGAACAAAAAUUGGCGUUCAGCACUACUAUUUAAAGAUGGUUUGAUCAGUACUACAGAAAACCCAUAGAUUAUUGUAGGUAUCUAAGAAUGAUGAUGAUUACACUCGGAGCAAGCCUUGUUGCGGCGCUGCGUGUUGCCCUCCUCCUCCCCAAGGGCAAGGUGAAGGAAGGUGCCUGUGUGGUUCUUCUGCAGCUCGUAGCGAGGAUUGCUGUGUUCAACCUGCACAAGAAUGCCAAGAAGUCCUUCUCGGAGACGAUUAAGGACAUGUACCUGCACUGCAACGAGAGAUCUGGGCUGCUUCUUUGUGGCUUCCAAACUUGAAAUGUUUGUUUGGAAGUUAGUUUAGUUUUUUGUUGUGGAUUCACAGCUUCUCACAUGUACCAUCCUCUUAGACCUUUAGAUUUCCAAAGAAACUAAAUGAAGAUAUGGUGGUAUGGUCUCAAUGAAGCGUUCCAUGCUUUAUAUUUUCUCUAAAAUUUUCUGCUGAAGAAUCAUGUAUCUAUGUUAGAUCCGGUGAGAAAAGAGGCGGCUUCCAAGCAGAGGAUGCAGGAGUGUUGGCCGCAUUUGGUCUUUGACUUGGGUGUGUAAAUAUUCUUACAAUACUUGGCUCCCUCUCGGCCUUUGUGCCAUUGGCGCAACGAGUCAUCUAGUAUAUACAAACCAUGUAUGAAUAA
Triticum aestivum (bread wheat) is the source of this 3069-nucleotide long non-coding RNA. RefSeq lists it as uncharacterized. The record is from RefSeq and is a predicted model, not a curated record. Lineage: Eukaryota; Viridiplantae; Streptophyta; Magnoliopsida; Poales; Poaceae. The transcript has 9 exons.